GACAGCACUGUGAUGAUGCUGACCAAGGGACUCCAAAAAAAAGAAGGAAGAAGAAAAAGAAAAGACGCACUGUUUUUUCUGAUGAAACGGAGCGACUUCUCCAGACCUAUGAAGAUGUACUAGAGGAUGGAAGACAAAUUGCAUCACAGAUUUACUCCAAACUCACAGACAUAUCCUGCAGGACGGCUGAAAGCAAAACAUUUCUGGAGGAGCUAAAAGAGAAGACUUCAGCUUUGAAAGAACAGAGUUCAGAAAAGAAAAUUUACAUUGGAUUAUUUGGCAAGACGGGAG
Long non-coding RNA from Megalops cyprinoides (Indo-Pacific tarpon), 291 nucleotides. RefSeq lists it as uncharacterized. Lineage: Eukaryota; Metazoa; Chordata; Actinopteri; Elopiformes; Megalopidae. The transcript is spliced from 3 exons. The record is from RefSeq and is a predicted model, not a curated record.